UACGUAGGGUGCGAGCGUUGUCCGGAAUUAUUGGGCGUAAAGAGCUUGUAGGCGGUCUGUCGCGUCUGCUGUGAAAAUCCGGGGCUCAACCCCGGACUUGCAGUGGGCACGGGCAGACUAGAGUGUGGUAGGGGAGACUGGAAUUCCUGGUGUAGCGGUGAAAUGCGCAGAUAUCAGGAGGAACACCGAUGGCGAAGGCAGGUCUCUGGGCCACUACUGACGCUGAGAAGCGAAAGCAUGGGGAGCGAACAGG
RNAcentral lists this ribosomal RNA (253 nucleotides) under uncultured bacterium. RNAcentral describes it as "partial 16S ribosomal RNA". It matches the Rfam family "Bacterial small subunit ribosomal RNA", at positions 524 to 776 of the family's 1533-position model. The record is from RNAcentral.